RNAcentral lists this long non-coding RNA (483 nucleotides) under Homo sapiens (human). RNAcentral's name for it is "HSALNT0368990". The record is from RNAcentral. Lineage: Eukaryota; Metazoa; Chordata; Mammalia; Primates; Hominidae.
GGAGCCAGUAUCUCCAGGAGGAGUGAGAGAGUGCUCUGCCAGUGUGAAGUGUGAAUCCUUGAGAGGCUGUGGCAAGGGUCCAUGCCUGAAUGUGUAGAACAAGAACAGCUGGAGGCUGUGGCUUUCUCCAGGAAGAGGUUUCUAAAUCUGCCUCUUAGAAGAUAUCAGAAAGUUAAAGGCUUUCAUUUGGUCUCUUUUCGAAUCAGAAGACCCAGAAAACUUGGAUCCACUUCUGGCUCUCAUCCCUCUGGGCAGUGUGAUUUGGAUUGAGCAGAUGCUCCGGCUGCCACUCCAUCAUAUAUUGGAAACAGCAUUACUUUAUAGUAAAUCAUGACCACGGUGUAUGGCAAUGAAGUUGCAUCUGAAGCAGCCGGCACCCUAUGUGCUAGCUGGCUUUUAGACCAGGAGACUGUGAAUCUGUGGUCAGGAUCUCUUUAGGGCUGCUAAAUAUAUACUACCCACUAUCACUCGCUGGAGCUGCAG